UAAGCUUAAGAAUACCGAGUCCAUUUAAGAGAGAGUGAUGGACAAAUUUUGUAUAUAAGUGAUUGAAUUGCUUAUCAAAGGCUCGCCUGAGGCGUGCCCGAGGUGCGCUCGAGGCGCACAGACGCAGCCCAUAGCGCCUGAGGAACCCAAAGGCGCACGAUCUCCAGUCCACGCCCAUGCAAUCACACAAAGUAAACUUAUAAAAGAAGAAGGAGAAGAAGAAAAAGAAGAAAGAUCUGAAAAACCUGACUUGAUUUUAUCCUCUCUUAGGCUCGGGCUUAUCUAAUUUCUGAUCUGAAAUACAGGAUUGUGAACUUGUAUCCAAUGGAGGGAGUUGGGGGUGAGGGUGCCUCAGGGGCAUCACCUGUAGCCCAAUGGGGACAUGAUGCUUGGAGGA
This 397-nucleotide unclassified non-coding RNA is filed under the name Hevea brasiliensis (rubber tree). The record is from RNAcentral. Lineage: Eukaryota; Viridiplantae; Streptophyta; Magnoliopsida; Malpighiales; Euphorbiaceae.